UUGGAGACUUAACCUCAGCUACACGACA
RNAcentral lists this small RNA (28 nucleotides) under Bombyx mori (domestic silkworm). RNAcentral describes it as "ovarian small RNA-2417". The record is from RNAcentral. Lineage: Eukaryota; Metazoa; Arthropoda; Insecta; Lepidoptera; Bombycidae.